RNAcentral lists this ribosomal RNA (733 nucleotides) under Eimeria ferrisi. RNAcentral describes it as "SSU rRNA". It matches the Rfam family "Eukaryotic small subunit ribosomal RNA", at positions 110 to 846 of the family's 1831-position model. The record is from RNAcentral. Lineage: Eukaryota; Apicomplexa; Conoidasida; Eucoccidiorida; Eimeriidae.
UUAUAGUUUAUUUGAUGGUCACUUUUACAUGGAUAACCAUGGUAAUUCUAUGGCUAAUACAUGCGCACUUGCCUCCUUCUUUGGAGGGGCUGUGUUUAUUAGAUACAAAACCAACCCACUUUGUGGAGUCCUGGUGAUUCAUAGUAACCGAACGGAUCGCAGUUGGCUUCGGCCCGCGAUAUAUCUUUCAAGUUUUUGACCUAUCAGCUUUCGACGGUAGGGUAUUGGCCUACCGUGGCAGUGACGGGUAACGGGGAAUUAGGGUUCGAUUCCGGAGAGGGAGCCUGAGAAACGGCUACCACAUCUAAGGAAGGCAGCAGGCGCGCAAAUUACCCAAUGAAAACAGCUUCGAGGUAGUGACGAGAAAUAACAAUACAGGGCAUUUUUUGUUCUGUAAUUGGAAUGAUGGGAAUGUAAAACCCUUUCAGAGUAACAAUUGGAGGGCAAGUCUGGUGCCAGCAGCCGCGGUAAUUCCAGCUCCAAUAGUGUAUAUUAGAGUUGUUGCAGUUAAAAAGCUCGUAGUUGGAUUUCUGUCGUGGUCAUCCGGUUCCGCCCGUAUGGGUGUGCACCUGGUUUGCCCUCGGCUUUCUUCCGUUUGCCUCUUGGCGCUUCAUUGCGUCUUUUGGUUUUUCGGAACUUUUACUUUGAGAAAAAUAGAGUGUUUCAAGCAGGCUUGUCGCCCUGAAUACUUCAGCAUGGAAUAAUAAGAUAGGACCUUGGUUCUAUUUUGUUG